Molecule: long non-coding RNA, 871 nt
Organism: Hippocampus comes (tiger tail seahorse)
Lineage: Eukaryota; Metazoa; Chordata; Actinopteri; Syngnathiformes; Syngnathidae
Exons: 2
Source: RefSeq, a predicted model, not a curated record
CACGACCUAACCUGCUUGGGCAAACCUGCCUGGCAGCACCCGCAGCCGGGUCUCCUCACAUCCUCACAAACCAAAUAGUCAGUCAUGUGCCAUGCCAACUGUUCCGUCGCGACCUUAUCACCGCAGCUCCAUUUUGCUUGUGCUUGCCUUUGCCAUGACAACAUCAUCAGACGGUCAAAGUCCUGCCAGCUUCCCCUCCCCGCCCGCCCCCUUUUUUUAAAGCUCAACUUACCCGACGCUCUUUGCUCCCAAUGAGUCAACUUGCAGGUGUACUGAUUGACGACAUCAUCCCAGCAGGACACAAAUAGAUUUCAAUGUUUUAUAUUACGCGUUAUGUUCGAAACUGGUAUUUGCCCACGGCAGAGUACACUUUUGGGUGUAGUUAAACUUGAUAAACAAAAGUCACAAGUGCAGCAUUGUUUCGGCGUUGCACCUAAGUGUGCAGUGGGUUGCAACAAAGGUCAAACUGGGACAUCUGCUGCAUGCUUUUCGUAGUUUGGAGAAAUAUCUGGGCUGGAUAUGUUCAAAUCUUGGCCAAGAACACAUUACCAUCAAGUUUUCAAUAAAAGUAACUGUUGUAACUAUAAAAGUAACUUUUUUUUGCGCUGACAACCAUUUAAUUUGCAUUUUCCACUGAAUUGACAUUCUAAAAUUGACUGCUACUCAGGAUUUGACAGCUGAUAUUGAGGCACUAAUUGAAGGCUAAAAGAUGUUUCAGGAGCAAAGUAAUUGGUCUUCAUCCAAAAUCCGCUCCCACCUUUGCACUGUGAAGAAUACAGUUCUGUUAAAAUGAAUACACAAUACAGAAAUAUUUUAAGACAGUAUUGCAAAUUCAAAAGAGGUUGGUUUGGUGGAAGCCUUUUAUGCUUUU